RNAcentral lists this ribosomal RNA (443 nucleotides) under uncultured bacterium. RNAcentral describes it as "partial 16S ribosomal RNA". It matches the Rfam family "Bacterial small subunit ribosomal RNA", at positions 338 to 795 of the family's 1533-position model. The record is from RNAcentral.
CCUACGGGUGGCUGCAGUGGGGAAUAUUGCACAAUGGGCGCAACCCUGAUGCAGCGACGCCGCGUGAGGGAAGAAGGCUUUCGGUUUGUAAACUUCUUUUCUCAGGGACGAAAAACGUGACAGUACCUUAGGAAUAAGCGACUGCUAACUACGUGCCAGCAGCCGCGGUAAUACGGAGGGGGCAAGCGUUCUCCGGUUUUAGUGGGUGUAAAGGGGGUGUAGGCGGUAGUGCAAGUCAGAUGUGAAAAGCCAGGGCUCAACCCUACGACUGCAUUGGAAACUGUGUGGCUUGAGUGCUGGAGAGGCAAGCGGAAUUCCGGGUGUGGCGGUGAAAUGCGUAGAUAUACGGAGGAACACCAGUGGCGAAGGCGGAUUGCUGGACAGUAACUGACGUUGAGGCGCGAAAGCGUGGGGAGCAAACAGGAUUAGAUACCCUUGUAGUC